Long non-coding RNA from Penaeus indicus, 1131 nucleotides. RefSeq lists it as uncharacterized. The transcript is spliced from 3 exons. NCBI's taxonomy places the organism in Eukaryota, Metazoa, Arthropoda, Malacostraca, Decapoda, Penaeidae. The record is from RefSeq and is a predicted model, not a curated record.
GCCGACGUUCAAGACGAAUGCGCACGGACGUUACGGCUCUUCAUUAAGGAUUUAUCUCUGGAAGACUGAAAACAAGGCAUUGAGGUUGACCUGCAGUGAUUAAAGCAGAAUGCGCAUGGGACUUUGGGGUUCUUUUAGAAGUGGAAGAUCCACUUAUACUUUCAUGGUAACAGCCAAAACAGGACUUGACUGAAAAGGAAGUCUUUGACUGCUUCAUGACCCUGGAAUUGAUGCAGCUCAUUGCAGAGGAAACCAACUAGUUCACAAACCAGUAUGACUGUCUCACAUCUCACAUUAUUGGUCUUGCAAUCCAUUGAUAGGCUACCAUGUAUUUGCCUAGAUGAUGGUGAGAUUGAAGCCCAGUAAAUAUACUUCAACUUUUCGGACAUCAGUGGUGCUCAUGCCAACAACGACUGGUUGUGGAAGUUCCAGCCAUCAUUGACACACUUUCUUGCCAGUUCUUGAUGGUGUACAUCCUUUCUAAGAGGAUUACAACCCUUUGGUGUGACAUGGUGUACAGUCUGUGUUCCAGUGGAUAUCCCAUGCCUUCUGGAUAUAUGUGGGUCAGGACCAUGGCAAUCUUCCUGCUAGUAUGAAGGCUGUCUUGAACUUGUUUGGAAAAUUCUAUGAGCUGCACUUGGAUGAGUGGUACUGCCUGCUACUCCUAUUCCAUUACUUUCGGUCCCAUUCCACCAGUCAGGUUGUCACCCUAUCAGCCAACUGAUGAGGAGUUAUUUAGGUCAAACUAAGUGUAGUGGUGAUUACAACAUGGACAUGGAUUAUGUAGAUUUUAGUGACUAGCUCAGGCAGUGUGUCAUCACUGCCUAUGCGGUCCAUAAACCUCUCAGGAGCACGAUGACAUAGUUUGAGGUUCAGAUGGUCCUAAUCUGAUUUCUCAUGCACUAGUGGAGAAUUGGAAGGAGGAGGAAUCAAACUGAAUUGGCUGCUACACCUGGCAAUAGGAGCUUUCAUUUUUAUUGGUGUGUAAACGGCAGAGGGUGACACACAUCAUGUAUGAGUGCUGUAGCAUGCCUCUGUGUCCUCUGAAGUGCUUCAAACACUUUCAUAAUCAGAGAAAGGAGUAGGAGAAGUAUGGAGAAGGAGGAGUUGUGAUUAUUGUAUAUGCCUUUU